GGAUGAACGCUGGCGGCGUGCCUAGCACAUGCAAGUCGAACGGAGUCCAGCCUUUAAGACCUUCGGGUCAAAGAGGGGAAGACUGAGUGGCGGACGGGUGAGUAACACGUGGGCAACCUGGCUCAUAGAGGGGGAUAACAGAGAGAAAUUUCUGCUAAUACCGCAUAAGCACACACUGCCGCAUGGCAGAGGGCGAAAAGAGAAUCGCUAUGAGAUGGACCCGCGUCUGAUUAGCCAGUUGGCAGGGUAAGAGCCUACCAAAGCGACGAUCAGUAGCCGAUCUGAGAGGAUGAACGGCCACAUUGGGACUGAGACACGGCCCAAACUCCUACGGGAGGCAGCAGUGGGGGAUAUUGCACAAUGGGGGGAACCCUGAUGCAGCGACGCCGCGUGAGUGAAGAAGUAUUUCGGUAUGUAAAGCUCUAUCAGCAGGGAAGAUAAUGACAGUACCUGAAUAAGAAGCCCCGGCUAACUACGUG
RNAcentral lists this ribosomal RNA (479 nucleotides) under uncultured bacterium. RNAcentral describes it as "partial 16S ribosomal RNA". It matches the Rfam family "Bacterial small subunit ribosomal RNA", at positions 27 to 507 of the family's 1533-position model. The record is from RNAcentral.